CCUACGGGGGGCAGCAGUGGGGAAUAUUGCGCAAUGGGCGAAAGCCUGACGCAGCGACGCCGCGUGAGGGAUGAAGGUCUUCGGAUCGUAAACCUCUGUCAGCAGGGAAGAACGGUCACUGUGCUAAUCAGCAGUGAAUUGACGGUACCUGCAAAGGAAGCACCGGCUAACUCCGUGCCAGCAGCAGCGGUAAUACGGAGGGUGCGAGCGUUAAUCGGAAUUACUGGGCGUAAAGCGCUCGUAGGCGGUAUGUCAAGUCAAGGGUGAAAGCCCCGCGCUCAACGUGGGAACUGCCUUUGAAACUGGCAAACUGGAGUGUGUGAGAGGAUAGUGGAAUUCCAGGUGUAGGAGUGAAAUCCGUAGAUAUCUGGAGGAACAUCAGUGGCGAAGGCGACUAUCUGGCACAUAACUGACGCUGAGGAGCGAAAGCGUGGGUAGCAAACAGGAUUAGAUACCCCAGUAGUC
Molecule: ribosomal RNA, 465 nt
Filed under: uncultured bacterium
Lineage: Bacteria
Description: partial 16S ribosomal RNA
Rfam family: Bacterial small subunit ribosomal RNA
Source: RNAcentral